CCCUUCUUAGCUCAGUUGGAAGAGCGUCAGACUGUAAAUCUGAAUGUCGCCCGUUCGAACCGGGCAGAAGGGA
Molecule: transfer RNA, 73 nt
Filed under: Schizophyllum commune H4-8
Lineage: Eukaryota; Fungi; Basidiomycota; Agaricomycetes; Agaricales; Schizophyllaceae
Description: tRNA-Tyr (GTA) (tRNA-Tyr-GTA-3 1 to 3)
Rfam family: tRNA
About the family: Transfer RNA (tRNA) molecules are approximately 80 nucleotides in length. Their secondary structure includes four short double-helical elements and three loops (D, anti-codon, and T loops). Further hydrogen bonds mediate the characteristic L-shaped molecular structure. tRNAs have two regions of fundamental functional importance: the anti-codon, which is responsible for specific mRNA codon recognition, and the 3' end, to which the tRNAs corresponding amino acid is attached (by aminoacyl-tRNA synthetases). tRNAs cope with the degeneracy of the genetic code in two manners: having more than one tRNA (with a specific anti-codon) for a particular amino acid; and 'wobble' base-pairing, i.e. permitting non-standard base-pairing at the 3rd anti-codon position.
Source: RNAcentral